CCCUAGUAACUGCGAGUGAAGCGGGAAAAGCUCAAAUUUAAAAUCUGGCGGUCUUUGGCUGUCCGAGUUGUAAUCUAGAGAAGUGUUAUCCGCGCUGGACCGUGUACAAGUCUCCUGGAAUGGAGCGUCAUAGAGGGUGAGAAUCCCGUCUUUGACACGGACUGCCAGGGCUUUGUGAUGCGCUCUCAAAGAGUCGAGUUGUUUGGGAAUGCAGCUCAAAAUGGGUGGUAAAUUCCAUCUAAAGCUAAAUAUUGGCGAGAGACCGAUAGCGAACAAGUACCGUGAGGGAAAGAUGAAAAGAACUUUGGAAAGAGAGUUAAACAGUACGUGAAAUUGCUGAAAGGGAAACGCUUGAAGUCAGUCGCGUUGGCCGGGGAUCAACCUUGCUUUUGCUGGGCGUACUUUCCGGUUGACGGGUCAGCAUCAAUUUUAACCGUUGGAUAAAGUCUAGGGGAAUGUGGCAUCUUCGGAUGUGUUAUAGCCCUUGGUCGCAUACAACGAUUGGGAUUGAGGAACUCAGCACGCCGCAAGGCCGGGUAUUUUACCACGUUCGUGCUUAGGAUGCUGGCAUAAUGGCUUUAAUCGACCCGUCUUGAAACACGGACCAAGGAGUCUAACAUGCCUGCGAGUGUUUGGGUGGAAAACCCGAGCGCGUAAUGAAAGUGAAAGUUGAGAUCCCUGUCGUGGGGAGCAUCGACGCCCGGACCAGACCUUUUGUGACGGAUCCGCGGUAGAGCAUGUAUGUUGGGACCCGAAAGAUGGUGAACUAUGCCUGAAUAGGGUGAAGCCAGAGGAAACUCUGGUGGAGGCUCGUAGCGAUUCUGACGUGCAAAUCGAUCGUCAAAUUUGGGUAUAGGGGCGAAAGACUAAUCGAACCAUCUAGUAGCUGG
Molecule: ribosomal RNA, 890 nt
Filed under: Galerina pumila
Lineage: Eukaryota; Fungi; Basidiomycota; Agaricomycetes; Agaricales; Galerinaceae
Description: partial large subunit ribosomal RNA
Rfam family: Eukaryotic large subunit ribosomal RNA
Source: RNAcentral